RNAcentral lists this ribosomal RNA (253 nucleotides) under uncultured bacterium. RNAcentral's name for it is "partial 16S ribosomal RNA". It matches the Rfam family "Bacterial small subunit ribosomal RNA", at positions 524 to 776 of the family's 1533-position model. The record is from RNAcentral.
UACGUAGGGUGCGAGCGUUGUCCGGAAUUACUGGGCGUAAAGAGCUCGUAGGCGGUUUGUUGCGUCGGCUGUGAAAUCCCGAGGCUCAACCUCGGGUCUGCAGUCGAUACGAGCAAACUAGAGUGUUGCAGGGGAGACUGGAAUUCCUGGUGUAGCGGUGGAAUGCGCAGAUAUCAGGAGGAACACCGAUGGCGAAGGCAGGUCACUGGGCCGCAACUGACGCUGAGGAGCGAAAGCAUGGGGAGCGAACAGG